GCCGGGCAUGGUGGCUUUUGCCUGUAGUCCCAGCUACUUGGGAGGCUGAGGCAGGAGAAUCGCUUGAAUCCAGGAGGCGGAGGUUGCAGUGAGCCGAGAUCGUGCCACUGCACUCCAGCCUGGGCAACAGAGCGAGACUCUGUCUCAA
Molecule: non-coding RNA, 148 nt
Organism: Homo sapiens (human)
Lineage: Eukaryota; Metazoa; Chordata; Mammalia; Primates; Hominidae
Rfam family: Metazoan signal recognition particle RNA
About the family: The signal recognition particle (SRP) is a universally conserved ribonucleoprotein. It is involved in the co-translational targeting of proteins to membranes.
Source: Rfam